CCCUCCUCAGGACCUGUACUUGUGUACACAUACCGUCACAUAGACAAGAUACAUAUAUGCGUAAUUAAAAGUGAAACACACACACACACACACACACACACACACACACACGGCCCAAAGCAGUGCCUCCUUGCUUCUAGCUUUGGUUAUGGACUCUGCAAUCCCAGGUGUGCUCGAUAAUUUUAUGACAACCUGACAUAAGCUAAAGUCAUCUGAGAGAAGAGAACCUCAAUUAAGAAAAUGCUCCCUGAACUCUGUGGAAUCUACGCGGGUGACAAUAGCAAAGACUCCUAGUAAUGGGGGACACCGAGCCUGAAUCAGCCAUCCUCUAUAACCAGGCAAGGCCACGAGUGGAAGGCAUGGGACACCACCCCAGCCACAAAACCCCCACCUACAGCUUAUGUCUGCAGGAUGUGCUGGCAUUAGAGUCAGGCAUAAUUGUCAUCACAGAGACAAGAGACACUUCAUCCAGCCCCUGAUGAGAGCAGAGGCAGAAUCCUGCAGCCAGAUAUUACCUGGAGCCUGGGAAGCCCCGUGGAGGAGGGGAAAGGAGGAUUGGAGGAGCCAGAGGGAUCAAGGACACUACAAGAACACAGCCCAAAGAAUCAACUGACAGGAGGCUAAAGGCCAUCCUUAUCUCCCAGGUCUCACGAAACCCUAAAAUCUACGAGGAGCAAUCUGCACUGCAGCGUCCCUAGCAUCGUUCAGAGCCGCUUCUCACGUUUUUCUGGGGCAAAAGUUCCCUGCAUGGCUGAUUUCUGGAUCCCAGUAGGAUGCUGCUACCUGCAGAGUUGAAGAGAAAGAGCAUUAUGUAUUGGGAGUGUUGAGGCCAGAGGGACCACAGAGGAUAUGCUGUGCCUACCAUUUGUGAGAUGGUGAGGGCCCUGGGGAGCUUUCAGGCGGUGUAUGUGGAGGGGGAUACCAUGAGAGGGGACACAGCAUCACCAACAAAUGCUUUCUGAAUGUGAAGAGGGGCCUCUGUCCAGUGUGCCUCAAACCAUGACUGCCUCUCCUGGGUCUGCGGCCUCCACCUUCUGCCCAGGGACCGACAUUCUUCAAGUGUGUCAUGGAUCAAGCGGAUUCUGUCUCUUUGAAGAAUUUCCCCGGGAGCUGUGUGUCACACCAGUGCAUCCAAAGAGGACAGAAAUGCCUUCUGUCGCCAGGUGGAAGGAAAGCGAGAAGGGAAUGCCGGGAGAAGCUUCAUGAAGACCUGGUUUUCCAGAACGCGCUGGGUGGAAAUGACAACCUUCCAGACAGCUGUGGAGUUCACAACCUGGAGGGAGGUUCAAGAACUGCGAACCUGCCAUGGGUCUGUGUGAUGCGCACAGACAAGAGCUGUGGAGAUGUGCCCCUCCCCCGCCCCCGGGGUUAGACUCCAUUACCAACCCAAGAGACAUUGGGGCAGAGGUGUGUGUGUGAAGAUGGAAGCACAGGAGAGAUCGCUUCGGUGCAUUCUCUUAUAAGCAUCCAUGUAAAACGCCAACGCGGUACACUGGCCUGUAAUCCCAGCGCCUGCAGGGGGGAGGGUCCUAUUGCCAUUUGGCCUAGUCUUCUUGGUGAAGUUCCAAGACAGCGAGAGGUUAGAGGAACCCGAGGACGGACAUCCACGGUUGUCCUCGCUCUCUAUGUACAUGCAUACGAACGUCCCAGCACAUAGCCCUCUACCCAUACAUGAACCCACGGACAUCCACACACGGUAGAGUGAGGGGCAGCUCUGUUGACACUCUGGUAGCCAGGGAUAGCUCCUGUGGUUGAGCUAGCUCCUGAAUCCUUAGACAGGACCUCAAAAGCUGAACGUUUUGCUCAGGCAUACUGGCACACACCUGUAAGUCUAGCAUUCGGGGGAGUGGAGUCAGGAUACUCAGGACUAAAUUUAAGGCCAGCCUCAGCUACACAGCAAGAGGCUAGAUUAGGCUCCAUGAGAACAUUUCUUUUAAAAAAAAAAUCAAAAUAGACAAAAAGAAACAAAGGGAGAAUGGAAGAAAAAGAACCCCAGUAUUUACUGGACAGAAGCCGCAUUGUAGGGGCUAGAGAGACGGCUGAGUACAGAGCAUGCUUGCAAGCAAGAGGAUAUGGAUUCGGAGUUCAGGCAAGUAUACCAAAGCUCAGUGUAACGGUGCAGGCUGUAACCCCAGCACACCUGAUGGGCUGAAGCAGACAGACCCCUGGAGCUUGCUGGCAGCCAGUCUAGCUAAAAGGUGAGCUCCAGGGCAGUGGAAAACCUGUCUCAAGAUGAGGGUGGAGAGCAUGAGAAGAACACACCCAACCUUGAUCUCUGACCUCCACAUGGACAUGUGUGAGCGAGCACCACCAACCACACCCCCUCCCACACACAUGCAAAUAAAACAACAAGGUAAAAGCUAUUUUACUUUUAUUAUUUAUUUAUUUUUACCCAAAAACAGACCACUGAAACCGG
Meriones unguiculatus (Mongolian gerbil) is the source of this 2416-nucleotide long non-coding RNA. RefSeq lists it as uncharacterized. The record is from RefSeq and is a predicted model, not a curated record. Lineage: Eukaryota; Metazoa; Chordata; Mammalia; Rodentia; Muridae. The transcript is spliced from 5 exons.